RNAcentral lists this transfer RNA (73 nucleotides) under Bacteriophage sp. Its description in RNAcentral is "tRNA-Thr". It matches the Rfam family "tRNA". From Rfam's summary of the family: Transfer RNA (tRNA) molecules are approximately 80 nucleotides in length. Their secondary structure includes four short double-helical elements and three loops (D, anti-codon, and T loops). The record is from RNAcentral.
GCUGGAAUAGCUCAAUUGGUAGAGCAUCCGCCUUGUAAGCGGAAGGUUGCAGGUUCGAAGCCUGUUUCCAGCA